RNAcentral lists this ribosomal RNA (490 nucleotides) under uncultured bacterium. Its description in RNAcentral is "partial 16S ribosomal RNA". It matches the Rfam family "Bacterial small subunit ribosomal RNA", at positions 29 to 507 of the family's 1533-position model. The record is from RNAcentral.
AUUGAACGCUGGCGGCAUGCCUUACUCAUGCAAGUCGAACGGCAUCGCGGGAAAGCUUGCUUUCCUGGCGGCGAGUGGCGAACGGGUGAGUAACACAUCGGAACGUACCGGCUAGUGGGGGAUAACCCGUCGAAAGACGGGCUAAUACCGCAUACGCUCUUCGGAGGAAAGCAGGGGACCUUUGGGCCUUGCGCUAGUCGAGCGGCCGAUGUCCGAUUAGCUAGUUGGUGGGGUAAAGGCCUACCAAGGCGACGAUCGGUAGCGGGUCUGAGAGGACGAUCCGCCACACUGGGACUGAGACACGGCCCAGACUCCUACGGGAGGCAGCAGUGGGGAAUCUUGGACAAUGGGGGCAACCCUGAUCCAGCAAUGCCGCGUGGGUGAAGAAGGCCUUCGGGUUGUAAAGCCCUUUCGGCAGGGAAGAAAUCGGCGGGGCGAAUAACCCUGCUGGAUGACGGUACCUGCAGAAGAAGCACCGGCUAACUACGUG